Molecule: long non-coding RNA, 525 nt
Organism: Xenia sp. Carnegie-2017
Lineage: Eukaryota; Metazoa; Cnidaria; Anthozoa; Malacalcyonacea; Xeniidae
Exons: 2
Source: RefSeq, a predicted model, not a curated record
CUCCAGCCAGAUACACUGGCCAGAAUGUAUAUAGAUUAAUAUUAUGAAGAGUUGUUUUUCGAAAAUUUGACGAAUUUAAAUUCACUUAUGGACAAAAUUUUUAAUGCCAUCGGAUAGGAUACCAAGCAUAUGAGUAAAGAGUUUCCUAUUAGAAUGGUCAACGGAUUUGAUAGAAGCGAUAAAACGACCUAAUGUGCGUAAAGAACGUUCUUCAGAUGAAGACGUUAUUGGUAUAAAAUUUGGACUAAACUAAUUUAUAUUUGAUUCUUGAAUCGGGGCUUUUUAUUUGCAAUGUAGCUUGUCUGCAUAAUUGUAAUUGAAAGUUUUUAUUUGUAAUUGUAUAUUGAGUUCCUGUGGCUAUCAUGUCUGUCUAUGGCGCGCCGAGAUGGACAAUAUUACCAAAAUCGAAAAUAUUUACAACGAAACACAUUAUCGUAUGUCGAAAAUAAUAUACUGGUAACUUUUUCAAUAUUUGUAAAACGAAACGCAAAAAUAUAAAAGAAAACAAAAAUUCGUUUACCAUAA